CCCGCUGAACUUAAGCAUAUCAAUAAGCGGAGGAAAAGAAACUAACAAGGAUUCCCCUAGUAACUGCGAGUGAAGCGGGAAAAGCUCAAAUUUAAAAUCUGGCUGCCUCUGGUGGUCCGAGUUGUAAUCUGGAGAAGCGUUUUCCGCGUCGGACCGUGUACAAGUCUUCUGGAAUGGAGCGUCAUAGAGGGUGAGAAUCCCGUCUCUGACACGGACUGCCGAUGCUUUUGUGAUGCGCUCUCGAAGAGUCGAGUUGUUUGGGAAUGCAGCUCAAAAUGGGUGGUAAAUUCCAUCUAAAGCUAAAUAUUGGCGAGAGACCGAUAGCGAACAAGUACCGUGAGGGAAAGAUGAAAAGCACUUUGGAAAGAGAGUUAAACAGUACGUGAAAUUGUUGAAAGGGAAACGCUUGAAGUCAGUCGCGUCGUCCGAGACUCAGCCUGGCUUGCCUGGUGUACUUCUCGGUUGACGGGUCAGCAUCAGUUUUGACCGCCGGACAAAGGCCAGAGGAAUGUGGCAUCCCUCGGGAUGUGUUAUAGCCUCUGGUUCGCAUACGGCGAUUGGGACUGAGGAACUCAGCACGCCUUUAUGGUCGGGGUUCGCCCACGUAACGUGCUUAGGAUGCUGGCAUAAUGGCUUUAAGCGACCCGUCUUGAAACACGG
Molecule: ribosomal RNA, 660 nt
Filed under: uncultured fungus
Lineage: Eukaryota; Fungi
Description: eukaryotic LSU rRNA
Rfam family: Eukaryotic large subunit ribosomal RNA
Source: RNAcentral